RNA transcript from Cannabis sativa, 3197 nucleotides. RefSeq lists it as uncharacterized. The record is from RefSeq and is a predicted model, not a curated record. The transcript is spliced from 5 exons. NCBI's taxonomy places the organism in Eukaryota, Viridiplantae, Streptophyta, Magnoliopsida, Rosales, Cannabaceae.
GGUGCCCGAGCCCAACAGAGGUACAUUUCUCUUUUCAUCUGUCUUCAUCGCACUCGACCCCUUCGCAUUCAGUCAGCGGCAGCUCGAAAUCAUCUUCUUCUCCGACGAACUCCAUGGGUUACCAGAGACUGACAAAUGGAGGUGCAAGAAAAGAAAACCAUGUGCAGAGGUCUGUACACAUAUGUGUGUCUACGCUGCUUUGUUCAAUUGAUCACCAAUGAUUUUGUUCAAUUAAUAAAAUUUUCUAACUGCAAAGAAAGAACCAAUUUCUCCAAUGGGAUUUGGUAUAUGGGCUCGGAGAAACCAGCUUCUUUUCUCAUUUGGUUCUUCUAGGCCUCUGCUUAUGGCUAAUCAAGAACAAUUCCAAAGCACAAAGGUUUGGUUUGAGGUCAAAUUACUACAAUUAUAUUUGUUGGGUUUGCUGGCUACAUACACCACUGCCAAUCUAUCUAGAAGGUAAGACUAAUCUGUCUCCUUUUGAGGUGGGUUUUCAAUCAUUUUGGUUUAUAAAUAAGAAUGAUGCUGACCUACAUUUUGGAAGUUUUGAAAGAGUGAAAUUUAAAUUUUGGUAGUUGUUUCAUUCCUAGCAUAGAUUAUAUUUCACACUGAGAUUAAUGUUGGUAGCUAACAAGUUUCUACAAGAGUACUCCAACUCUCUUUCAUUCAUUUUUUUUGUAGUGUCCAUAAAGUUGAAUUCCAAGGCUUGUAUAGUCUUUUAAACCUCAAUAAUCUCAAGAAUUCUACUAAGUUCACAAAUUUGGUGAGUGAAAAUUAUCUAAACUAUUGAGUUGUUGGGCUGCAUUGGAUCAAGCAUAGGCUCCCUUGAAAAAUUGUUUUUGUUUUUUUACUUGUUUUCCUUUUUUAUGUGUUUUAAUGUGUAAUAACAUAACUAAAAUUAUUAGUUAGAAGGUAAGUAUAUAUAGAAUUUGAGGGUAAUAUUCUACACUUCCAAAAUGCAAAUAAAUUCAUUUAGAUGAGAUAGCUCCUUAAAUUUGUAAUUUCCAUUGUACAAUUUAUGAUUUGUAGUUAUACUGGUAAUAUAUAUGGAAAAAGAUGAAGCCCAUAAACACAACAUUUUAAGGUUUGAUAAUAUAUAUGGAUGAAGGGCAUGAGUACAAUGGCAGUUAUCUCAUAAGUUCUAACUUAUUUUAAUCAUUGGUAAGUAUACUAUGAUUAUAUCCUUGAUAAACUUGCAAUUAAUAAAACAAAGACUGACUAUAAUUAAUUUGCAUCUUACAAAACUUCAGGUUGAUUUUAUAGUUGAUCUGAGUUUACAUUAUUCUAUUAUUAACAAAGAUUAUAUUAGGCUUUUUUUGUCUUUUGUUUUUCUUAUAUUAGGCUAUUCUAAUAAUGACACUUUUUUUUUUCCUCUUUUUGUUUGUAUACUGUAUAAUAAAGUUUCUUAUAUUUUCCCCACCAACUUGUGUUACAAUUACAACUAUAUACCAUUUAAAUGUAUUUUAUUUUAUCUUUCUCACAAAACCUUCUAAGGUCAAUUCAAAUUUGUGUGAUUUAACACUUGAACCGAAUACUCAGUAACAAAACACUAUUAAUAAAUACAAAUAAAAAUGUAUGUACAUAUAUAUAUUGAUACUUACUUAAUUUUUGUUGAUUUCGGACUGGAGUUAAUACUCCUGGUGUUCUUCGCCAGUCCGUAACUAUACGGUCUAUUAUCUGAUUCAUAAUAAAAUAUAUGAGUGAUUAACUAUAUAUGCGAUUAAGAACCAGAAAUAUAAGAGCGAUUAACUAUGCGGUUAAGAAUAAUAAAAAAUAUAAGGUACAAUAUUUUAAUAAUAUUACCUCAGUGCGUGCCUCCAUUGAAUGAGUAAAUGUGCCUAACUGUGUACUAAAAAUAGAAGAAGAAAGAAUUAGUGAGAAAAAGAAAAUAUAAUAAAAUGAAUUAUGCAUUUUUUAAAAUAGUAUAAACAGAACUCUAAACUAAUUUUUUUUGUCAAAAUAAAACUUGAUAAUAAUAUAAUAUAGAAGUAUUAUGACAAAACUGGUUGUGUCAUAAUAUAUAAUGUUUAAUACCAAUUAAUUGAUGUUGGUGGGAUAUUCUAUAAGACCAAAUACAACUUAGCCAACUACUUAUAAUAAUAUACAGGGAUGGCAAUUAUACCCGCGGGUUCGAGUACCCACGAGUACGGAAGUUGACUUUCGGGGGGUGGGAGUGGGUAUGGGUUUAAAGAUUUAUUCCUAAGUUGGAAACGGGGUGAGGGCGGAGGCGGGGCAGGGGAAUAGAUACUCGCCCUGAACCCGCACUACUACAAAAUACACUUUUAGUGUCGAUUCGAAAAUCACUAAAUUUUAAAAACUGACACUAUAGAACCCUCUAUGUUUUAAGUGUCAGUUUUAAACCGACACUUAUAAAUCAUGAAUAGUGUCGGUUAGUAGUGAGUCACUAAAAAAAUAACCGAUAUUUAAAAGAGAAAUACUAGCUUAAAUGUAAUCUCUUAAGUCUCGGUUCAUAACCGUUACUUAAGAGAAAGCUAUUUUGAAAAGAAAACAACGAGACCCAAACCCCUUUCAUCUCUCUCGUCUCUCUCAUUUUCUUUCUCAGACCAAACCAAAAUCCCUAACCCCACCACCGGUUCUCACCGUCUCACUACAUGUGCCUUAGCCCCCGUCUCCCUCUCGUUGACCCACCAUGAACGACCCCCUUCUCCAUAUCAGUAUAUAUUUAUUAUAUAUUAAAUUUUGUAGAAUUUGUAGUUUCAUUGGGUGGGUUUAAGCUCACAACAUUUUCGUGUACAAUACCGUUACCGAUUCCGUCUAAGCUCAGAAAAGGCACUUGUUGUUGAGGGAUGUGAAUGAGGAUAUGAUGUUCGACAUUGUACAAUCUAUUGCUCGGUUGCAAGAAGCUUUCUUCUUCACUGAUGAAAUGAAGUCUAUGGCUUGGUUCUUGAUAUUUUAGGUAAAGAACAGAAGAUAGGAGUGAAGCAUUUUAAGCCCUAUAAAGCCCUUGGGAUUUGGUUUUACUGGCAGGAAUAAUGAAGAUUGCUAUUGGUGUUGCAGAACUUCUCACUAUUGUGCCAAAUAUGAUAGACAAUGUUCCACUAUUAGUCUUCAUGUUCUCAUUAGUGUUUGUAUGGUAAUUAAGAAUGUAAUUUUGAACCACCAACAUUUUAUGGAAUUUUAAUUAUUGUAUAACAUUUGUAUACUAUUUGAUAAUAGAAAUGUUGAUAUUAAUUUUGUUA